AACAUUCUCUCCAUCAAGUAACGGUGACUAAAAAAUAAGUAAGAGCUAUAAAAAUAGUACCGCAAGGGAAACAUGAAAUACCACCCCCACCCCCGCAUAACACAGCAAAGAUCGAACCUUGUACCUUUUGCAUCAUGGUCUAGCCAGUCUAACCAAGCAAAGCGCACCUAAAGUUUGACCCCCCGAAACUAGACGAGCUACUUUACAACAACUCAUAGAGCCAACCCAUCUCUGUUGCAAAAGAGUGGGAAGAUUUUAAAGUAGAGGUGACACACCAACCGAGCCUAGAGAUAGCUGGUUGUUCAGAAAAAGGAUUUUAGUCCAACUUUAAGUUUCAUCUAGUAACACUAAACACACAACUUAAAAGCCAUUCAAAUGGGGUACAGCCCAUUCGAACAAGGGAACAACCUACAACACAGGGUAAUGACCUUGCACAUGACCAAGUGGGCCUAAAAGCAGCCAACUUCCAAAAAGCGUCCAAGCUUACCCAUAAACUAUCCCAAAUUCAACCAUCAAAACAAAACCCACACCCAUUACUGAACGAUCCCAUAUACAUAUGAGAGACAUCAUACUAGAACUAGUAACAAGAAGUAUAGAACUUCUCCACAAUGUAAGCUUUAGCCAAAAUGAACCCCCACCGGCACCCACCGCCACAACCCACAGUACCACCACCCCAAGAAAACCCUACUGCACCCAGCGUCAACCUUACACCAGAACAUUACCGUGAAAGAUUAAAAGGAGGGGAAGGAACUCGGCAAACACCCGCCCCGCCUGUUUACCAAAAACAUCGCCUCUUGACACAACUAAACAUAAGAGGUCUAGCCUGCCCAGUGACAACGUUAAACGGCCGCGGUACCCUAACCGUGCAAAGGUAGCACAAUCACCUGUCCUUUAAAUCAGGACUAGUAUGAAUGGCCCCACGAGGGCAUUACUGUCUCCCCCCCCCAAUCAGUGAAACUGAUCCCCCCGUGAAGAAGCGGGGAUAACACUAUAAGACGAGAAGACCCCAUGGAACUUUAAACUUGUACCACUGCCCCCCCCCCACACCACACUAACAGGACAACAUGACUACAAGUCUUUCGGCUGGGGCGACCACGGAAAAAAACAAAACCUCCAUGAUGAAACAAGGGCCCCCCCCAUCCCAGAACAACUUCUCCAAGAAUCAAUAAAUUGACACAAAUUGACCCAACACCUUGAUCAACGAACCAAGCUACCCUGGGGAUAACAGCGCAAUCCAUUUCAAGAGACCCCAUCGACAAAUGGGCUUACGACCUCGAUGUUGGAUCAGGGUAUCCUAGUGGUGCAGCC
Molecule: ribosomal RNA, 1308 nt
Filed under: Rhombophryne coronata
Lineage: Eukaryota; Metazoa; Chordata; Amphibia; Anura; Microhylidae
Description: partial 16S ribosomal RNA
Rfam family: Bacterial large subunit ribosomal RNA
Source: RNAcentral